This 277-nucleotide unclassified non-coding RNA is filed under the name Hevea brasiliensis (rubber tree). The record is from RNAcentral. Lineage: Eukaryota; Viridiplantae; Streptophyta; Magnoliopsida; Malpighiales; Euphorbiaceae.
AUGCUCAUCAAUGGGUCUCUGGGUGCGAUGCUUAUCAAUGGUUCUCUUGGGUGCAAUGAUUAUUGAUGAGUCUUUGAGUGCGAUGCAUUAAUCCUCUGGCAUUGGUGAAAAAGGAGGAGGAGAAGAUUAACAAGUGAGAUGGGUGAGGGAGGGAUAGAGGCUUGCAAAUAGAUUACUUUUAGAUCAUAACGUAGGUGGGUGAAACCCAAACUAUAGAUUUGCAAAUCCAUUCAGUUAUGGAUAAAAGAAAUUUAACGUUCUUGCGCAUAGUGAUUUA